Molecule: ribosomal RNA, 447 nt
Filed under: uncultured bacterium
Lineage: Bacteria
Description: partial 16S ribosomal RNA
Rfam family: Bacterial small subunit ribosomal RNA
Source: RNAcentral
AACGAACGCUGGCGGCAUGCCUAACACAUGCAAGUCGAACGAUGCCUUCGGGCAUAGUGGCGCACGGGUGCGUAACGCGUGGGAAUCUGCCCUUGGCUUCGGAAUAACAGUUAGAAAUGACUGCUAAUACCGGAUGAUGUCCCCCUGAGAGAUCUUGGGGACCAAAGAUUUAUCGGCCAGGGAUGAGCCCGCGUAGGAUUAGGUAGUUGGUGGGGUAAAGGCCUACCAAGCCGACGAUCCUUAGCUGGUCUGAGAGGAUGAUCAGCCACACUGGGACUGAGACACGGCCCAGACUCCUACGGGAGGCAGCAGUGGGGAAUAGUGGACAAUGGGGGGAACCCUGAUCCAGCAAUGCCGCGUGAGUGAUGAAGGCCUUAGGGUUGUAAAGCUCUUUUACCAGGGAUGAUAAUGACAGUACCUGGAGAAUAAGCUCCGGCUAACUCCGUG